GACCGAAAAAGGCAAACCGUGCGAAAGCACGGGGCGCAAAGCCGACGGUCUAAGGGUUUUAAACCUAUGACGGCAGGGUUACCGAA
Molecule: non-coding RNA, 86 nt
Filed under: Candidatus Dadabacteria
Lineage: Bacteria; Pseudomonadati; Thermodesulfobacteriota
Description: c-di-GMP sequence
Rfam family: c-di-GMP-I riboswitch aptamer
About the family: GEMM was predicted in a large-scale screen for bacterial structured RNA regulatory elements.
Source: RNAcentral